This is a long non-coding RNA of Capsicum annuum, 486 nucleotides long. RefSeq lists it as uncharacterized. The record is from RefSeq and is a predicted model, not a curated record. The transcript is spliced from 2 exons. NCBI's taxonomy places the organism in Eukaryota, Viridiplantae, Streptophyta, Magnoliopsida, Solanales, Solanaceae.
UAUCUCUAACCCACAACUUGUCGUGCACAUCCAUUUACAAAACAUAAGAGAAACCAUCACUCAAAUAUAGUUGUAUACAGAAUGGAGAAGGCAUCAAGCAUCUUGUUCUCUCUUAUUUUCAUGUUAAUUUUGUUAGGUUCACCUUCCUGUAUGGCGUCGGGACAAGGCAAGGCAUGUCAAAGUGUUAAAGAUUGUUUUACCUUAUUUUGCAAGCAUGAGCAUUCAGUUUGUUUAGAAGGACAUUGUAUCUGCAAAGCGGCACCAAAAUACAUGGCAAGUGAUGAUGAUUUGGGGAUAGAUAUAGUAGAUCCAUGCCACAAAGAUAGUGACUGUAAAGCCAUAUGUGGUCCUGAAUGGUCAUCAAUUAAAUGUAUUGAUGGAAUUUGUGUCUGUAAGAACCCGAAUUAAGACAUGAUAGAAGGUGUAAGAGAACUGUUUAUCCUAUUAUUUGAGUAAAUUAAAUAAUAAGAAAUAUAGUUAUCAUCA